CACUGGCCCGGCCGAAAAGAAACGUUGCGGACGAAGCGAACUACAUCGGGACGCUUUGGCCGCCGAGCGAAAAAAAAACACCAUUGAGCUCGACCUCAGAUCAGGUAGGAGUACCCGCUGAACUUAAGCAUAUCAAUAAGCGGAGGAAAAGAAACCAACAGGGAUUGCCCCAGUAGCGGCGAGUGAAGCGGCAAGAGCUCAGAUUUGAAAUCGUGCUAAUUUUUUUGGCACGAGUUGUAGAGUGUAGGCGGGAGUCUUUGUGGAGCACGGUGUCCAAGUCCCUUGGAACAGGGCGCCUGAGAGGGUGAGAGCCCCGUGGGGUGCCGUGCGAAGCUCUGAGGCCCUGCUGACGAGUCGAGUUGUUUGGGAAUGCAGCUCCAAGUGGGUGGUAAAUUCCAUCUAAGGCUAAAUACUGGCGAGAGACCGAUAGCGAACAAGUACUGUGAAGGAAAGAUGAAAAGCACUUUGAAAAGAGAGUGAAACAGCACGUGAAAUUGUUGAAAGGGAAGGGUAUUGGGCCCGACAUGGGGAGUGCGCACCGCUGUCUCUUGUAGGCGGCGCUCUGGGCGCUCUCUGGGCCAGCAUCGGUUCUUGCUGCGGGAGAAUGGGUGCCGGAAAGUGGCUCUUCGGAGUGUUAUAGCCGGCGCCAGAUACCGCGUGCGGGGACCGAGGACUGCGGCUUCUGUCUCGGAUGCUGGCACAACGGCGCAAUACCGCCCGUCUUGAAACAUGGACCAAGGAGUCUAACGUCUAUGCGAGUGUUUGGGUGUA
RNAcentral lists this ribosomal RNA (771 nucleotides) under Pichia membranifaciens. RNAcentral's name for it is "LSU rRNA". The stretch from base 91 to 771 matches the Rfam family "Eukaryotic large subunit ribosomal RNA", at positions 1 to 702 of the family's 3401-position model. The record is from RNAcentral. Lineage: Eukaryota; Fungi; Ascomycota; Pichiomycetes; Pichiales; Pichiaceae.